GCCUGAGAAACGGCUACCACAUCUAAGGAAGGCAGCAGGCGCGCAAAUUACCCAAUCCUAAUACAGGGAGGUAGUGACAAGAAAUAACAAUACAGGACUUUUUGGUUUUGUAAUUGGAAUGAGUUAAGUAUAAACCCCUUUACAAGUAUCAAUUGGAGGGCAAGUCUGGUGCCAGCAGCCGCGGUAAUUCCAGCUCCAAUAGCGUAUAUUAAAGUUGUUGCAGUUAAAAAGCUCGUAGUUGGAUUUCUGUUAAUAAUUUAUAUAAAAUAUUUUGAUGAAUAUUUAUAUAAUAUUAACAUAAUUCAUAUUACUAUAUAUUUUAGUAUAUGAAAUUUUACUUUGAGAAAAUUAGAGUGCUUAAAGCAGGCAUAUGCCUUGAAUACUCCAGCAUGGAAUAAUAUUAAAGAUUUUUAUCUUUCUUAUUGGUUCUAAGAUAAGAAUAAUGAUUAAUAGGGACAGUUGGGGGCAU
This 469-nucleotide ribosomal RNA is filed under the name Cryptosporidium parvum. Its description in RNAcentral is "SSU rRNA". It matches the Rfam family "Eukaryotic small subunit ribosomal RNA", at positions 394 to 891 of the family's 1831-position model. Lineage: Eukaryota; Apicomplexa; Conoidasida; Eucoccidiorida; Cryptosporidiidae. The record is from RNAcentral.